GUGCUCACUUCAGAAGCACACACACCAAAAUUGGAACAAUACAGAGAUUAACAUGGCCUCUCUGUGCAAGGAUGACACACAGAUUUGUGAAGCAUUACAUAUUUUU
Molecule: small nuclear RNA, 106 nt
Organism: Phyllostomus discolor (pale spear-nosed bat)
Lineage: Eukaryota; Metazoa; Chordata; Mammalia; Chiroptera; Phyllostomidae
Source: RefSeq, a predicted model, not a curated record